CCGAAUGUUACCAAACAAACCACUGUGAACCGUCCCUUUAGCUGCUUCGGCGAGGCGAUCCCAGGGCGGGAUCCCGGGCUCCUUACGGGGUGCUCGCCGGCGGCCACUUUCUAGCUCUGUUUCUAGCGGGCUUCUGAGUGUAAACAAAAAAUAAUCA
RNAcentral lists this unclassified non-coding RNA (157 nucleotides) under soil metagenome. Its description in RNAcentral is "partial internal transcribed spacer 1". The record is from RNAcentral.